Non-coding RNA from Gasterosteus aculeatus aculeatus (three-spined stickleback), 616 nucleotides. Lineage: Eukaryota; Metazoa; Chordata; Actinopteri; Perciformes; Gasterosteidae. The record is from RefSeq and is a predicted model, not a curated record.
ACUGAAUGCACAUCAUGUCAGGAUAGGAUCAAACAUCAUUAGUGAUGAAUGGCGUGCUUAUCGUUCCCUGCAUGCACUUGGUUACAAUCAUAUGACUGAAUCAUGCAAGGUGGCCUGUAGAUGCCCAAACAGGUGCUGAAUCAACUGAAUCAUUCUGCCCUUUUCGAUGCUCCUUUUCUCUUCUCAUUUAAGUACCAGGAGGAGCUCUUCUUUCUGAGGGUGAACAAGAUCACCUGAUUCCUCCACCUCGCGGUGCCUUUUGGAGAGUGACUUCUUUGUUGCUGCUGGCUGAAUGAUUGCUCAUUCGUUCCUCCAUGAUGGGCCGGGCCUUGAGGACUCAGCCCAGCUGUUCUGCAUGUGCUCUUUGGUGGAAGCCCAGAAGAAGUCAUGAUGAAAAUAUCAAGGACUGUGCUGACCUCGAUAUCCGCAAGACAGUCAAAGUGCUGGAGGGUACAGAAGAAUUGUCAUCUGAAGGAAAGAACAAUACUAAUGAGUUGUCACUGUCUUGGGAUUUGCCUCAAGUCACAUGUGAGAACAGAAGAUGCUGCUGGACAAGCUGAUGCUCCACGCAGAACUUGGAAGAAGCUCAAGACGGGUUAAACAGUUACGAAGGGGC